UCACCCACGCCCCCACCCAACUUGAGCCUUUGACGCACACCAAACAGCCGUUUAAGGGCUUGUUCGGUUAUUCCCAAUACACAUGGAUUGGAUGGGAUUGGAAAAAAUUGAGAAGAAGUUUGACUUGUUUGGGAUUCAAACUCAUCCAAUCCCACACAAUCCACAUGGAUUUAGAGCUAACCGAACAAGCCCUAACUAAACUACUCAUUUUCCCUCCCGUCCAAAUUUACUCCGCCUCGCCUUCUCCUUGCCCCAGCUUUGUAUAUAAACAAACGCUCGUAACUCACCCACACCCACAUAGUAUUCGACAGGCUCACAAUUCCAGCUCAGGCCACCAGCAAGCACAUCGCAAAGGAGAACAGAACAGAACAGAGAGCCAUGGCGGCGGUCGCCGUGAGCGGGAGGCUGCGGACGCUGGGGCGCGGCGCGUCGGGCGCCGUGGUGUCGCUGGCGUGGGACGCCGCGUCGGGGGAGCUGGUCGCGGUCAAGUCGGCCGGCGCGAGCGGCGCGGCGGCGCUCAGGCGGGAGCACGCGGUGCUGGCCGGGCUGCGCUCGCCGCACGUCGUGCGCUGCUUCGGCGGCGGCGAGGCGGCGGAGGCGGCGGAGGAGGGGUCGUCGUACCAGCUCUUCCUCGAGUACGCCCCCGGCGGGUCGCUCGCCGACGAGGUGGCCCGGAGCGGGGGCUCCCUCGGGGAGCGCGCCGUCCGCGCGUUCGCAGCCGACGUGCUGCGGGGGCUGGCGUACCUCCACGCCCGCUCCGUCGUGCACGGCGACGUCAAGGCGCGGAACGUGCUGGUCGGCGCCGGAGGCCGCGCCAUGCUCGCCGACUUCGGCUGCGCCAGGGCGCUGUCCGGCUCCGGCUCCGGCUCCGCGCGCCGGCCGAUCGUCGGCGCCACGCCGGCGUUCAUGGCGCCCGAGGUGGCUCGCGGGGAGGACCAGGGCCCCCCCGCCGACGUCUGGGCGCUCGGCUGCACCGUCGUCGAGAUGGCCACCGGCCGCGCCCCGUUCGGCGGCAUGGGUGGCGCUGGCGGCGCCCUCGCGGCGGUCCACCGGAUCGCGUACACGGACGCCGUGCCGGAGGUGCCGGCCUGGCUGUCGCCGGAGGCCGGGGACUUCCUGGCCCGCUGCUUCGCCAGAGACGCCGCCGACCGGUGGACCGCCGCGCGGCUCCUGGAGCACCCGUUCGUGGCGUUGGCCCGCCACGACGACAAGGCCCCGCGGCCGUCUCCCAAGAGCGCUCUGGACGCCGCGUUCUGGGAGUCCGAAACAGAGUGCGAGGACGAAGCGGACGAUGCGUCAGGGAGCGCGUCGGAGAGGAUCGAGUCACUGGCGUGCUCCGCCGGGGCCUUGCCCGACUGGGACGGCGAGGGCGGAUGGAUCGACGUGCUCGGCGAGCACUGCGGCGCGCCAGGCAAAGCGUCCAGCGUCCUGGUGGCGGUGCCAGGUGGGGAGAUGGAUGUCGGCGGCGGCGGUCUACCCAGUGAUGAUGGGCUGGAAGCAGAGGACGUGCCGUUCGGUGGCGGCGGUGUUCCAGUUCCAGUUCCAGCAGCUGAUGCUUCGGCUGGGCGCCAUGAGAAACACUGUUCGAGUUCCGACUGUCAUGCGCUCUCCUGUCAGCUAGUACCUUGUAAUCUAGUCUUUAAUGCAAUAAAGUUAUGGGUUCCCACAAAUUUUCG
This 1676-nucleotide unclassified non-coding RNA is filed under the name Zea mays. RNAcentral describes it as "misc RNA Zm00001eb360930". The record is from RNAcentral. Lineage: Eukaryota; Viridiplantae; Streptophyta; Magnoliopsida; Poales; Poaceae.